RNAcentral lists this ribosomal RNA (908 nucleotides) under Hongkongmyces aquisetosus. Its description in RNAcentral is "Hongkongmyces JY-2022a partial large subunit ribosomal RNA". It matches the Rfam family "Eukaryotic large subunit ribosomal RNA", at positions 37 to 962 of the family's 3401-position model. The record is from RNAcentral. Lineage: Eukaryota; Fungi; Ascomycota; Dothideomycetes; Pleosporales; Lindgomycetaceae.
AGCAUAUCAAUAAGCGGAGGAAAAGAAACCAACAGGGAUUGCCCUAGUAACGGCGAGUGAAGCGGCAACAGCUCAAAUUUGAAAUCUGGCUCCUUCCGGGGUCCGAGUUGUAAUUUGUAGAGGGUGCUUUGGCGUCGGCCAUGGUCUAAGUUCCUUGGAACAGGACGUCACAGAGGGUGAGAAUCCCGUACGUGGCCGCUGGCCUUCGCCAUGUAAAGCCCCUUCGACGAGUCGAGUUGUUUGGGAAUGCAGCUCUAAAUGGGAGGUAAAUUUCUUCUAAAGCUAAAUAUUGGCCAGAGACCGAUAGCGCACAAGUAGAGUGAUCGAAAGAUGAAAAGCACUUUGGAAAGAGAGUCAAAAAGCACGUGAAAUUGUUGAAAGGGAAGCGCUUGCAGCCAGACUUGCCCGUAGUUGCUCAUCCAGGCUUCGGCCUGGUGCACUCUUCUGCGGGCAGGCCAGCAUCAGUCCAGGCGGUCGGAUAAAGGUCCCGGGAAUGUGGCUCUCUUCGGGGAGUGUUAUAGCCCGGGGCGCAAUGCGGCCAGCUUGGACUGAGGUCCGCGCAUCUGCUAGGAUGCUGGCGUAAUGGCUGUAAGCGGCCCGUCUUGAAACACGGACCAAGGAGUCUAACAUCUAUGCGAGUGUUUGGGUGUCAAGCCCGAGCGCGCAAUGAAAGUGAACGGAGGUGGGAACCCGCAAGGGUGCACCAUCGACCGAUCCUGAUGUCUUCGGAUGGAUUUGAGUAAGAGCAUAGCUGUUGGGACCCGAAAGAUGGUGAACUAUGCCUGAAUAGGGUGAAGCCAGAGGAAACUCUGGUGGAGGCUCGCAGCGGUUCUGACGUGCAAAUCGAUCGUCAAAUUUGGGCAUAGGGGCGAAAGACUAAUCGAACUAUCUAGUAGCUGGUUCCUGCG